Molecule: ribosomal RNA, 465 nt
Filed under: uncultured bacterium
Lineage: Bacteria
Description: partial 16S ribosomal RNA
Rfam family: Bacterial small subunit ribosomal RNA
Source: RNAcentral
CCUACGGGUGGCAGCAGUGGGGAAUAUUGCGCAAUGGGCGAAAGCCUGACGCAGCGACGCCGCGUGAGGGAUGAAGGUCUUCGGAUCGUAAACCUCUGUCAGCAGGGAAGAACGGUCACUGUGCUAAUCCGCCGUGAAUUGACGGUACCUGCAAAGGAAGCACCGGCUACCUCCGUGCCAGCAGCCGCGGUAAUACGGUGGGUGCGAGCGUUAAUCGGAAUUACUGGGCGUAAAGCGUUCGUAGGCGGUAUGUCAAGUCAAGGGUGAAAACCGCGCGCUCAACGUGGGAGCUGCCUUUGAAACUGGCAGUCUUGAGUGCAGGAGAGGUGGGCGGAAUGCGUGGUGUAGCGGUGAAAUGCUUAGAUAUCACGAAGAACUCCGAUUGCGAAGGCAGUUCACGGGACUGCAACUGACGCUGAGGCACGAAAGUGUGGGGAUCAAACAGGAUUAGAUACCCUAGUAGUC